UACGUAGGAUGCAAGCGUUGUCCGGAAUUAUUGGGCGUAAAGAGCUCGUAGGCGGCCUGUCGCGUCGGAUGUGAAAGCCCGGGGCUUAACCCCGGGUCUGCAUUCGAUACGGGCAGGCUGGAGUGUGGUAGGGGAGAUCGGAAUUCCUGGUGUAGCGGUGAAAUGCGCAGAUAUCAGGAGGAACACCGGUGGCGAAGGCGGAUCUCUGGGCCAUUACUGACGCUGAGGAGCGAAAGCGUGGGGAGCGAACAGG
RNAcentral lists this ribosomal RNA (253 nucleotides) under uncultured bacterium. Its description in RNAcentral is "partial 16S ribosomal RNA". It matches the Rfam family "Bacterial small subunit ribosomal RNA", at positions 524 to 776 of the family's 1533-position model. The record is from RNAcentral.